UGGGGAAUAUUGGACAAUGGGCGAAAGCCUGAUCCAGCCAUGCCGCGUGUGUGAAGAAGGUCUUCGGAUUGUAAAGCACUUUAAGUUGGGAGGAAGGGCAGUAAGCGAAUACCUUGCUGUUUUGACGUUACCGACAGAAUAAGCACCGGCUAACUCUGUGCCAGCAGCCGCGGUAAUACAGAGGGUGCAAGCGUUAAUCGGAAUUACUGGGCGUAAAGCGCGCGUAGGUGGUUCGUUAAGUUGAAUGUGAAAGCCCCGGGCUCAACCUGGGAACUGCAACAAAAACUGGCGAGCUAGAGUAGGGCAGAGGGUGGUGGAAUUUCCUGUGUAGCGGUGAAAUGCGUAGAUAUAGGAAGGAACACAAGUGGCGAAGGCGACCACCUGGGCUCAUACUGACACUGAGGUGCGAAAGCGUGGGGAGCAAACAGG
This 429-nucleotide ribosomal RNA is filed under the name Pseudomonadota bacterium. RNAcentral's name for it is "Proteobacteria bacterium partial 16S ribosomal RNA". It matches the Rfam family "Bacterial small subunit ribosomal RNA", at positions 355 to 776 of the family's 1533-position model. The record is from RNAcentral. Lineage: Bacteria; Pseudomonadati; Pseudomonadota.